AUUGAACGCUGGCGGCAUGCUUUACACAUGCAAGUCGAACGGUAACAGGUUAAGCUGACGAGUGGCGAACGGGUGAGUAAUGCAUCGGAACGUGCCCGAUCGUGGGGGAUAACGCAGCGAAAGCUGCGCUAAUACCGCAUACGAUCUGAGGAUGAAAGCGGGGGACCGUAAGGCCGCGCGCGAUCGGAGCGGCCGAUGUCGGAUUAGGUAGUUGGUGGGGUAAAGGCCCACCAAGCCGACGAUCUGUAGCUGGUCUGAGAGGACGACCAGCCACACUGGGGCUGAGACACGGCCCAGACUCCUACGGGAGGCAGCAGUGGGGAAUUUUGGACAAUGGGCGAAAGCCUGAUCCAGCAAUGCCGCGUGCAGGAAGAAGGCCUUCGGGUUGUAAACUGCUUUUGUACGGAGCGAAAAGGUCCUUUCUAAUACAAGGGGCUCAUGACGGUACCGUAAGAAUAAGCACCGGCUAACUACGUGCCAGCAGCCGCAGUAA
Molecule: ribosomal RNA, 493 nt
Filed under: uncultured bacterium
Lineage: Bacteria
Description: partial 16S ribosomal RNA
Rfam family: Bacterial small subunit ribosomal RNA
Source: RNAcentral